Molecule: ribosomal RNA, 208 nt
Filed under: uncultured bacterium
Lineage: Bacteria
Description: partial 16S ribosomal RNA
Rfam family: Bacterial small subunit ribosomal RNA
Source: RNAcentral
CACGUAGGCGGAUUUGUUAGUCAGGGGUGAAAUCCCGGGGCUCAACCUCGGAACUGCCUUUGAUACUGCAAGUCUUGAGUCCGGAAGAGGUGAGUGGAAUUCCUAGUGUAGAGGUGAAAUUCGUAAAUAUUAGGAAGAACACCAGUGGCGAAGGCGGCUCACUGGUCCGGUACUGACGCUGAGGUGCGAAAGCGUGGGGAGCAAACAG